CUCAUGAUGAACGCUGGCGGCGUGCUUAACACAUGCAAGUCGAACGAAGAAGGUUGGAAUGAGAGCUUCGGCAGGAUUUCUUUCCAUCUUAGUGGCGGACGGGUGAGUAACGUGUGGGCAACCUGCCCUGUACUGGGGAAUAAUCAUUGGAAACGAUGACUAAUACCGCAUGUGGUCCUCGGAAGGCAUCUUCUGAGGAAGAAAGGAUUUAUUCGGUACAGGAUGGGCCCGCAUCUGAUUAGCUAGUUGGUGAGAUAACAGCCCACCAAGGCGACGAUCAGUAGCCGACCUGAGAGGGUGAUCAGCCACAUUGGGACUGAGACACGGCCCAAACUCCUACGGGAGGCAGCAGUGGGGAAUAUUGCACAAUGGGCGAAAGCCUGAUGCAGCAACGCCGCGUGAAGGAUGGAGGGUUUCGGCUCGUAAACUUCUAUCAAUAGGGAAGAAACAAAUGACGGUACCUAAAUGAGAAGCCCCGGCUAACUACGUGCCAGCAGCCGCGGUAAUACGUAGGGGGCAAGCGUUAUCCGGAAUUACUGGGUGUAAAGGGAGCGUAGGCGGCAUGGUAAGCCAGAUGUGAAAGCCUUGGGCUUAACCCGAGGAUUGCAUUUGGAACUAUCAAGCUAGAAUACAGGAGAGGAAAGCGGAAUUCCUAGUGUAGCGGUGAAAUGCGUAGAUAUUAGGAAGAACACCAGUGGCGAAGGCGGCUUUCUGGACUGAAACUGACGCUGAGGCUCGAAAGCGUGGGGAGCAAACAGGAUUAGAUACCUUGGUAGUCCACGCCGUAAACGAUGAGUGCUAGGUGUCGGGGAGGAAUCCUCGGUGCCGCAGCUAACGCAAUAAGCACUCCACCUGGGGAGUACGACCGCAAGGUUGAAACUCAAAGGAAUUGACGGGGGCCCGCACAAGCGGUGGAGCAUGUGGUUUAAUUCGAAGCAACGCGAAGAACCUUACCAAGGCUUGACAUCCCGAUGACCGCUCUAGAGAUAGAGCUUCUCUUCGGAGCAUCGGUGACAGGUGGUGCAUGGUUGUCGUCAGCUCGUGUCGUGAGAUGUUGGGUUAAGUCCCGCAACGAGCGCAACCCUUAUCUUCAGUAGCCAUCAUUCAGUUGGGCACUCUGGAGAGACUGCCGUGGAUAACACGGAGGAAGGUGGGAUGACGUCAAAUCAUCAUGCCCCUUAUGUCUUGGGCUACACACGUGCUACAAUGGCUGGCAACAAAGUGACGCAAGACGGCGACGUUAAGCAAAUCACAAAAACCCAGUCCCAGUUCGGAUUGUAGUCUGCAACUCGACUACAUGAAGCUGGAAUCGCUAGUAAUCGCGAAUCAGCAUGUCGCGGUGAAUACGUUCCCGGGCCUUGUACACACCGCCCGUCACACCAUGGGAGUUGGAAGCACCCGAAGUCGGUGACCUAACCGUAAGGAAGGAGCCGCCGAAGGUG
This 1442-nucleotide ribosomal RNA is filed under the name uncultured organism. RNAcentral describes it as "16S ribosomal RNA". It matches the Rfam family "Bacterial small subunit ribosomal RNA". The record is from RNAcentral.